GGUACUCCCAGGGAUGGCUGUGCUCGUGGCAACCCACGAGGGUGCUCGCGCGAACUGAAGGGAGUUUUCGCGCGAACGAGACGGACUGCAGACAAAAGGAACAGACAGAGAUUGAGAGAAAGAGCGGGAAAGAGAAGAGAGAGAAAGAGAGAGAGAGAGAGAGAGAGGGAUGAAUAAGAGGAGGGAAAUGGGAAUGAUCGACAUUAUCGAUGCACAACGGCGAGAUGACGACGAUCUGCCACGCUUGCGCCUUCUCUCAUCGAAAAAUAUCUACCCGGAUCUUUCCUUUCUUUUGUUCGACACACUACGGACACACUCUUCGUCGUGCGGUCUCUCUCACGAGACCCCUGGGAGUCUGCGUGGGAGACGAACUCGAUGGGGACCGAUCGUUUUUUUCAACAGAUAACGCGACGAUUGAAGAACAGGUUAUUUGACGACGAGAAAACGCGGAUGAGAGAGAGAAGAAUACGCGGAGGAUGAGCGGCGAGAAUGAUCGAACUCGAGAUGUUUAUUUAAUGAUAAAGAAGAAAAAUACACGCGCGAAGGGAUAUCAAGAAUAAAUUGUAUGAAAAACCCGUUCAAAAUAGUGCGAGUAACAAAAGAGAAGAUACACUUGCUUUAAACAAAUGGAUUACACGAAUGGAAUAAAACAAUUGUCUAUAAAUGUUGAGUAGUAUUUUGUAUGUAAAAACAUGAAUAAAAGUUGUUUCGAUACUAGUUGUAUUACAGUUAGGAAUGACUUAUGUAUCAAUACUCGUUCGUAUUGUAAAGAAAAUGGUGAUUUCAAACUUGUCUUUUUGUUUACAUCAUAUAUUUGUGAUAAAAAUGGGUCGUCGUACUGCUCGAAAAUUAACGAAGUUUCUUA
Molecule: long non-coding RNA, 865 nt
Organism: Pseudomyrmex gracilis
Lineage: Eukaryota; Metazoa; Arthropoda; Insecta; Hymenoptera; Formicidae
Exons: 3
Source: RefSeq, a predicted model, not a curated record